AUUGAACGCUGGCGGCAUGCCUUACACAUGCAAGUCGAACGGUAACGGGCCUUCGGGUGCCGACGAGUGGCGAACGGGUGAGUAAUACAUCGGAACGUGCCCGAUCGUGGGGGAUAACGCGGCGAAAGCUUUGCUAAUACCGCAUACGAUCUACGGAUGAAAGCAGGGGACCGCAAGGCCUUGCGCGGACGGAGCGGCCGAUGGCGGAUUAGGUAGUUGGUGGGAUAAAAGCUUACCAAGCCGACGAUCUGUAGCUGGUCUGAGAGGAUGAUCAGCCACACUGGGACUGAGACACGGCCCAGACUCCUACGGGAGGCAGCAGUGGGGAAUUUUGGACAAUGGGCGCAAGCCUGAUCCAGCCAAGCCGCGUGCAGGAUGAAGGCCUUCGGGUUGUAAACUGCUUUUGUACGGGACGAAAAGCCUUCUUUUAAUACAGGAGGGUCAUGACGGUACCGUAAGAAUAAGCACCGGCUAACUACGUG
This 482-nucleotide ribosomal RNA is filed under the name uncultured bacterium. Its description in RNAcentral is "partial 16S ribosomal RNA". It matches the Rfam family "Bacterial small subunit ribosomal RNA", at positions 30 to 507 of the family's 1533-position model. The record is from RNAcentral.